UGAGGAAAACGAGUGUCCAGAUAACAGC
RNAcentral lists this non-coding RNA (28 nucleotides) under Mus musculus (house mouse). Lineage: Eukaryota; Metazoa; Chordata; Mammalia; Rodentia; Muridae. The record is from RNAcentral.